Molecule: ribosomal RNA, 850 nt
Filed under: uncultured bacterium
Lineage: Bacteria
Description: bacterial SSU rRNA
Rfam family: Bacterial small subunit ribosomal RNA
Source: RNAcentral
UGCAAGUCGAACGGCAGCACGGGAGCUUGCUCCUGGUGGCGAGUGGCGAMCGGGUGAGUAACAUAUCGGAACGUACCCAGUCGUGGGGGAUAACUAUCCGAAAGGAUAGCUAAUACCGCAUACGUCCUGAGGGAGAAAGCGGGGGAUCGCAAGACCUCGCGCGAUUGGAGCGGCCGAUAUCGGAUUAGCUAGUUGGUGGGGUAAAGGCUCACCAAGGCGACGAUCCGUAGCGGGUCUGAGAGGACGACCCGCCACACUGGAACUGAGACACGGUCCAGACUCCUACGGGAGGCAGCAGUGGGGAAUUUUGGACAAUGGGGGCAACCCUGAUCCAGCCAUUCCGCGUGAGUGAAGAAGGCCUUCGGGUUGUAAAGCUCUUUCAGCAGGAACGAAACGGUCGGCUUUAAUAAAGUCGGCUAAUGACGGUACCUGCAGAAGAAGCACCGGCUAACUACGUGCCAGCAGCCGCGGUAAUACGUAGGGUGCGAGCGUUAAUCGGAAUUACUGGGCGUAAAGCGUGCGCAGGCGGCGACAUAAGACAGAUGUGAAAUCCCCGGGCUCAACCUGGGAACUGCGUUUGUGACUGUGUUGCUAGAGUGCAGCAGAGGGGGGUGGAAUUCCACGUGUAGCAGUGAAAUGCGUAGAGAUGUGGAGGAACACCGAUGGCGAAGGCAGCCCCCUGGGUUAACACUGACGCUCAUGCACGAAAGCGUGGGGAGCAAACAGGAUUAGAUACCCUGGUAGUCCACGCCCUAAACGAUGCCAACUAGGUGUUGGGGGAGGAGACUUCCUUAGUACCGUAGCUAACGCGUGAAGUUGGCCGCCUGGGGAGUACGGUCGCAAGAUUAAA